AGGGAUCCGGAGGAAAUUUGUCUGUUGGAGGGGUUUGGUUGGCACUGUUGAAGUCCGAUUGGCACUGUUGAAGGUUGAUGGUUGGAGAGGUACGGAAGACACUGGAGACAGUCGGUCGCUGUAGAAAUCUGACUGCUGGAGCCCGUCCGUUAUAGAAGUUUGUCUGGAAUCCAUCCACUGUAGAAGUUCGGACGAAGUUCGGUUCUUGCAGAAAUCC
RNAcentral lists this long non-coding RNA (217 nucleotides) under Elaeis guineensis (African oil palm). Its description in RNAcentral is "long non-coding RNA (EGUI_LNC049187)". Lineage: Eukaryota; Viridiplantae; Streptophyta; Magnoliopsida; Arecales; Arecaceae. The record is from RNAcentral.